Molecule: long non-coding RNA, 662 nt
Filed under: Arachis ipaensis
Lineage: Eukaryota; Viridiplantae; Streptophyta; Magnoliopsida; Fabales; Fabaceae
Description: long non-coding RNA (AIPA_LNC002325)
Source: RNAcentral
CUACUCUCCACCACCACCUUAUGAGUACAAUUCACCUCCUCCACCAACUGCUUCACCGCCACCUCCUUAUGAGUACAAGUCACCACCUCCUCCACCAAUUGAGCACAAACCACCACCUUAUGAGUAUAAAUCACCACCUCCACCACCACAUGAGCACAAGGCUCCUCCGUACGAGUAUAAGUCACCCCCUCCGCCAUCACCAUCACCUCCACCACCUUAUGAGUAUAAAUCACCACCUCCACCACCACAUGAGCACAAGGCUCCUCCGUACGAGUAUAAGUCACCCCCUCCGCCAUCACCAUCACCUCCACCACCUUAUGAGUAUAAAUCACCACCUCCACCACCACAUGAGCACAAGGCUCCUCCGUACGAGUAUAAGUCACCCCCUCCGCCAUCACCAUCACCACCACCUCCUUAUGAGUAUAAAUCACCACCUCCCCCACCACAUGAGCACAAGGCUCCUCCGUACGAGUAUAUUUCACCACCCCCACCAUCACCAUCACCACCACCUCCUUAUGAGUAUAAAUCACCACCUCCACCACCACAUGAGCACAAGGCUCCUCCUUAUGAGUACAAGUCACCACCACCUCCAUACGUAUACAAGUCACCACCUCCACCACCAUAUGAACACAAGGUUCCUCCCUACGAGUACAAGUCACCAC